This 231-nucleotide long non-coding RNA is filed under the name Sorghum bicolor (sorghum). Its description in RNAcentral is "long non-coding RNA (SBIC_LNC014595)". The record is from RNAcentral. Lineage: Eukaryota; Viridiplantae; Streptophyta; Magnoliopsida; Poales; Poaceae.
GGACUUUCAGGAUCUGAGCUUUUUAAAGAAUGUCAGUUUGGGCUGCAAUGAGGUGAGUUCUUGAGCUUAUAGAUUCAGUGAAUGAAGCUUUUCGUUUCACAAAAAAAAGUGAAUGAAGCUUUUCACUUGCAGGUAAAUACUGUCAAACUUUGUUUCUUUAUUUCCAAUCACAGCAAACUGCUUGAUCGCGUUCUAGUGUUUCUUUCACUGAUUAGAUGCCCUCUUAACAGU